Molecule: long non-coding RNA, 955 nt
Organism: Xiphophorus couchianus (Monterrey platyfish)
Lineage: Eukaryota; Metazoa; Chordata; Actinopteri; Cyprinodontiformes; Poeciliidae
Exons: 2
Source: RefSeq, a predicted model, not a curated record
UCGGGGUGUUUGGGGUUUCCUUGUUGCGUCUAGGUGUGUCCACCAGGAGGCAUCAAGACUCUUUGUUUUACCUGGGAGAGCCUGUUGCGGCUCAGCUCACCUGAACCCAAUUACCUCAUCCUACCGGGAGUACAAGAGAAGAUGACCGCCAGAACCUCUUCGCUUGAGUGUUAGCCAGUUAUGGUACCCCUGAGCCUCCUAGAGAAUUUUCCUUCUCUGAGCCUUCCUCGUAGUUCGUCCUGAGUAAUUUGUUCGUUGUCUUUCCUGCCUUCAGGGUUUGUUUUUCUGUGACGCUCAAGAUCCUCCACAGACGAUCUCCCCUGGUGAUUUCUGGAAACAUCCUCCUCGCGACGCCGCGGGUCUUACCCGCUGGUUGCCCGAGUCCACUCUCACUUUCUCCGUCGAUCGCUAGUGGUCCUGGACUCCCUCCCCGCUGGUGGUCUUCGCUCUUCGGUCUCCUGGUGUUCCCGCUCUUACCUGUCCGUCCUCCCCCACGUCUGCCCACCUCCGUGCAGAUCCACUACAGCUGUAGCCUCUGCUUCCUGGAACACGGACUGUCAGCCUACGUAAGCCCCGACUCCUCAGCCGAACCCCUUCCCUGGAUUGGCCGUCUGCCUCACAAUGAGCCGACUGUUCCGUGAGUCCAUCCUGAGGUGUUCCUCCCCUCUAUUCCUCAUCAUCCACCCCUGUUAUAAUAAACAUCUUUAACUGAUUCUAUGACCUCCUGUAGUGUUCUGCAUGUGGGCUAAGACAAUUAACUCCACCAUGACAAAAUCCUUCUAUGGUGCGAGGCCACACACUCUUCUCGCCCUUGUACCAGAAAAUCCUCAAGAAUCUGAUGGUGAUCUGAGCGAUGAUGACCAAGUAGAAGAUCCUGAUUAUCAGCCCACACAAGCAGAUAAUACUGGAGACAGCUCUUUUGAAUCCCUGGAUGAAGAGGAGGCUCCCUCAAAAA